AGAGUUUGAUCAUGGCUCAGGAUGAACGCUGGCGGCGUGCUUAAUACAUGCAAGUCGAACGGAGUAUGUAGCAAUACGUACUGAGUGGCGAACGGGUGAGUAACGCGUUGGUGACCUGUCCUAGAUCGUGGGAUAACAGUUCGAAAGGACUGCUAAUACCGCAUGAAGUUACAGGCGUUAGAGAACUGUAACGAAAGGCGAAAGUCGAUAUAGGAGGGACCUGCGUCCCAUCAGCUAGUUGGUGAGGUAAUGGCCCACCAAGGCGACGACGGGUAGGGGACCUGAGAGGGUGAUCCCCCACACUGGCACUGAAACACGGGCCAGACACCUACGGGUGGCAGCAGUAGGGAAUAUUGGUCAAUGGGCGAAAGCCUGAACCAGCAACGCCGCGUGCACGAUGAAGGCCUUCGGGUCGUAAAGUGCUUUUCUGGGAGACGAGGAAGGACGGUAUCCCAGGAAUAAGGAUCGGCUAACUACGUGCCAGCCGCUGC
This 491-nucleotide ribosomal RNA is filed under the name uncultured bacterium. RNAcentral describes it as "bacterial SSU rRNA". It matches the Rfam family "Bacterial small subunit ribosomal RNA", at positions 8 to 518 of the family's 1533-position model. The record is from RNAcentral.